RNAcentral lists this ribosomal RNA (194 nucleotides) under uncultured bacterium. Its description in RNAcentral is "partial 16S ribosomal RNA". It matches the Rfam family "Bacterial small subunit ribosomal RNA", at positions 338 to 524 of the family's 1533-position model. The record is from RNAcentral.
CCUACGGGAGGCAGCAGUGGGGAAUAUUGGACAAUGGGCGAAAGCCUGAUCCAGCGACGCCGCGUGGGUGAAGAAGGCCUGCGGGUUGUAAAGCCCUUUCGGUUGGGAAGAACAGUGUCGGCCUAACACGUCGGCACCUUGACGUAACCAACAAAAGAAGCACCGGCUAACUCUGUGCCAGCAGCCGCGGUAAU